This 442-nucleotide ribosomal RNA is filed under the name uncultured bacterium. RNAcentral describes it as "partial 16S ribosomal RNA". It matches the Rfam family "Bacterial small subunit ribosomal RNA", at positions 338 to 795 of the family's 1533-position model. The record is from RNAcentral.
CCUACGGGAGGCAGCAGUGGGGAAUAUUGGGCAAUGGGCGCAAGCCUGACCCAGCAACGCCGCGUGAAGGAAGAAGGCUUUCGGGUUGUAAACUUCUUUUAAGAGGGAAGAGCAGAAGACGGUACCUCUUGAAUAAGCCACGGCUAACUACGUGCCAGCAGCCGCGGUAAUACGUAGGUGGCAAGCGUUGUCCGGAUUUACUGGGUGUAAAGGGCGUGCAACCGGGAAGACAAGUCAGAUGUGAAAUCCCGGGGCUCAACCUCGGAACUGCAUUUGAAACUGUUUUUCUUGAGUACCGGAGAGGUCAUCGGAAUUCCUGGUGUAGCGGUGAAAUGCGUAGAUAUAAGGAAGAACACCAGUGGCGAAGGCGGAUGACUGGACGGCAACUGACGGUGAGGCGCGAAAGCGUGGGGAGCAAACAGGAUUAGAUACCCCAGUAGUC